Molecule: long non-coding RNA, 204 nt
Filed under: Ananas comosus (pineapple)
Lineage: Eukaryota; Viridiplantae; Streptophyta; Magnoliopsida; Poales; Bromeliaceae
Description: long non-coding RNA (ACOM_LNC009515)
Source: RNAcentral
AUAUAUAUAUAUAUAUAUAUAUAUAUUCAAUCUAAUUCUUUUAACUUAUUGUUCGUUGGUCAGUUCGUGAGUCAGCUCGUGUUCGGCUCGUUUAUACCCCUACUACAAUCCAAAAAGCCACAAAUAUACAUCACGGCCAUAUAUAGUCCAGUAAUUUUCAAUCAAUUUCGUUAUUGACUUUUUCAAAUACCUGAAAAAACUAAU